Molecule: non-coding RNA, 211 nt
Organism: Pelobates cultripes (western spadefoot toad)
Lineage: Eukaryota; Metazoa; Chordata; Amphibia; Anura; Pelobatidae
Source: the annotation of a GenBank genome assembly
GAACAUGCCCGGCACCGGACACCCAACAGCAGCCUGAUCCUCUCAACCCGGCUGCCGUGAAUGCUAAGACAACCCGUACUUGACGUGAUGCUGCCCGCACAAGGCUCGGCGAAACGAACAGAGGCUCCUCUUCACACACAAUGAAAGAAACAACGCCACCAGACAACGCAAUCAGCGAUAGAGACACUCCAGAUUACAGCAAGUAUACAGG